AAGUCGUAACAAGGUUUCCGUAGGUGGACCUGCGGAAGGAUCAUUAUUGAAUAAACUUGCACAGGCUGUUGCUGGCCCUCAAGGGUAUGUGCACGCUUGUCAUCUUUAUCUCUCCAACUGUGCACAUAUUGUAGACCUGGAGUCCCUGUUGAUUCAUUUCGAGUUGGGACUGCUGUGCUUUGUACUUCAGAGUCAGCUUUGCCUUUUUCAUACCCAGGUCUAUGUCAUUUUCACAACCUCUUGAAUGUGUUUAGAAUGUUGAAUCAGGUCUUUUUGUACCUAUAAAGUUAAAUAUACAGCUUUCAGCAACGGAUCUCUUGGCUCUCGCAUCGAUGAAGAACGCAGCGAAAUGCGAUAAGUAAUGUGAAUUGCAGAAUUCAGUGAAUCAUCGAAUCUUUGAACGCAUCUUGCGCUCCUUGGUACUCCGAGGAGCAUGCCUGUUUGAGUGUCAUUUAAAUUCUCAACCACAUCAAUUUAUUUGGUGAGGCUUGGAUGUGGGGGUCUUUUUGCGGGCUUCUGUAAAUUUGAAGUCGGCUCCCCUAAAAUGCAUUAGUGGUAUCUGAGCAGAAGAAACUACUACAGGUGUGAUAAUUAUCUACGCCUCAGUAUCCUGCACAAUCAGAUUGUGCUGCUUCUAACGAGUGGAGAUUCCUUUUGGGGGACCACAUUUGUUGAAUUUGACCUCAAAUCAGGUAGGACUACCCGCUGAACUUAAGCAUAUCAAUAAGCGGAGGAAAAGAAACUAACAAGGAUUCCCCUAGUAACUGCGAGUGAAGCGGGAAAAGCUCAAAUUUAAAAUCUGACAGUUGUUCUGGCUGUCCGAGUUGUAAUCUAAAGAAGUGUUUACCCGCGCUGGACCGUGUACAAGUCUCCUGGAAUGGAGCAUCAUAGAGGGUGAGAAUCCCGUCUUUGACAUGGACUACCAGGGCUUUGUGGUGCGCUCUCAAAGAGUCGAGUUGUUUGGGAAUGCAGCUCAAAAUGGGUGGUAAAUGCCAUCUAAAGCUAAAUAUUGGCGAGAGACCGAUAGCGAACAAGUACCGUGAGGGAAAGAUGAAAAGAACUUUGGAAAGAGAGUUAAACAGUACGUGAAAUUGCUGAAAGGGAAACGCUUGAAGUCAGUCGCAUCGACUGGAAAUCAACCUUGCUUUUGCUUGGUGUAUUUUCUGGCUUGAUGGGUCAGCAUCAAUUUUGGUCGCUGGAUAAAGGCUUGGGGAAUGUGGCAUCUUAGGAUGUGUUAUAGCCCUCGGUUGCAUACAGCGGUUGGGAUUGAGGAACUCAGCACGCCGCAAGGCCGGGUCGUUUUACGACCACGUUUACGUGCUUAGGAUGCUGGCAUAAUGGCUUUAAUCGACC
Molecule: ribosomal RNA, 1353 nt
Filed under: uncultured fungus
Lineage: Eukaryota; Fungi
Description: eukaryotic LSU rRNA
Rfam family: Eukaryotic large subunit ribosomal RNA (bases 679-1353)
Source: RNAcentral